CGGANCUGCCCGGUGAAGUUUUUUAACGGCCGCGGUACUCUGACCGUGCAAAGGUAGCAUAAUCAUUUGCCUUAUAAUUGAAGGCUGGUAUGAAUGGUUUGACAAGAAUAUAGCUGUCUCUUUAUAAUUUGAUAGAAUUUUAUUUUUAGGUGAAAAAGCCUUAAUUUGAUUAAUAGACAAGAAGACCCUAUCGAGCUUUAGAUAAUUUAGUAGGUUAUAAAUAAAUCUUAUCUUAGUUGAAAGGGUAAACUACUAAAUACUUUGGUUGGGGCGACUGAGGAACAUAUAAAGCUUCCUUUAAGUAUAUUUAACAUACAGGUAUUGAUCCAAAAGUGUUGAUUAAAGGAAUUAGUUACCGUAGGGAUAACAGCAUUAUCUUUUUUGAGAGUUCUUAUCGAAAAAAAGGUUUGUGACCUCGAUGUUGGACCAGAAUGUCCUAAAGAUGCAGAAGUCUUUAAGGGUUGGUCUGUUCGACCAUUAAAAUUCUA
This 488-nucleotide ribosomal RNA is filed under the name Terebra triseriata. RNAcentral's name for it is "Cinguloterebra triseriata partial 16S ribosomal RNA". It matches the Rfam family "Bacterial large subunit ribosomal RNA", at positions 1854 to 2598 of the family's 2925-position model. Lineage: Eukaryota; Metazoa; Mollusca; Gastropoda; Neogastropoda; Terebridae. The record is from RNAcentral.